GACGAACGCUGGCGGCGUGCCUAAUACAUGCAAGUUGAGCGAUGAAGAUUGGUGCUUGCACCAAUUUGAAGAGCAGCGAACGGGUGAGUAACGCGUGGGGAAUCUGCCUUUGAGCGGGGGGCAACAUUUGGAAACGAAUGCUAAUACCGCAUAACAACUUUAAACAUAAGUUUUAAGUUUGAAAGAUGCAAUUGCAUCACUCAAAGAUGAUCCCGCGUUGUAUUAGCUAGUUGGUGAGGUAAAGGCUCACCAAGGCGAUGAUUCAUAGCCGACCUGAGAGGGUGAUCGGCCACAUUGGGACUGAGACACGGCCCAAACUCCUACGGGAGGCAGCAGUAGGGAAUCUUCGGCAAUGGACGAAAGUCUGACCGAGCAACGCCGCGUGAGUGAAGAAGGUUUUCGGAUCGUAAAACUCUGUUGGUAGAGAAGAACGUUGGUGAGAGUGGAAAGCUCAUCAAGUGACGGUAACUACCCAGAAAGGGACGGCUAACUACGUG
Molecule: ribosomal RNA, 497 nt
Filed under: uncultured bacterium
Lineage: Bacteria
Description: partial 16S ribosomal RNA
Rfam family: Bacterial small subunit ribosomal RNA
Source: RNAcentral